UUUAAUAGGCAAACUUAAAGAAAUUUAAGGACGCAAAGCUACAGGGACUAAAGUGUUAAUCAAAGUCAGCCAGUUGCCAA
RNAcentral lists this non-coding RNA (80 nucleotides) under Clostridium nigeriense. RNAcentral's name for it is "Cyclic di-GMP-I riboswitch". It matches the Rfam family "c-di-GMP-I riboswitch aptamer". From Rfam's summary of the family: GEMM was predicted in a large-scale screen for bacterial structured RNA regulatory elements. Lineage: Bacteria; Bacillati; Bacillota; Clostridia; Eubacteriales; Clostridiaceae. The record is from RNAcentral.